Molecule: transfer RNA, 74 nt
Filed under: Ipomoea nil (Japanese morning glory)
Lineage: Eukaryota; Viridiplantae; Streptophyta; Magnoliopsida; Solanales; Convolvulaceae
Rfam family: tRNA
About the family: Transfer RNA (tRNA) molecules are approximately 80 nucleotides in length. Their secondary structure includes four short double-helical elements and three loops (D, anti-codon, and T loops). Further hydrogen bonds mediate the characteristic L-shaped molecular structure. tRNAs have two regions of fundamental functional importance: the anti-codon, which is responsible for specific mRNA codon recognition, and the 3' end, to which the tRNAs corresponding amino acid is attached (by aminoacyl-tRNA synthetases). tRNAs cope with the degeneracy of the genetic code in two manners: having more than one tRNA (with a specific anti-codon) for a particular amino acid; and 'wobble' base-pairing, i.e. permitting non-standard base-pairing at the 3rd anti-codon position.
Source: Rfam by way of RNAcentral
GGUCUUGUAGCUUAGUUGGUUAGAGCGUGGCUCUUAUGAGUCGAAGGUCGUGAAUUCGAGCCUCGUCGGGACCA